This 1557-nucleotide small RNA is filed under the name Rattus norvegicus (Norway rat). RNAcentral's name for it is "uncharacterized LOC103692959". Lineage: Eukaryota; Metazoa; Chordata; Mammalia; Rodentia; Muridae. The record is from RNAcentral.
GAGAAGUCUCCACGACCAUGCAGUAAUGCCAUCUACUUAUGAAUCCAUCCAUGGAUUAAUCUACAUAUGAGGUCAGAGUCCUCUGGUCCAGACACCUCCAGGAAGCUCAACCCUAAACCCAGCUGCACUGAACCACAGAGCUUAGUGGAGGACCCCUGUUACCACUCCGAAAAUACAAGGGGACACAUCUGCGUAAACAUUUGCUCAAUUUACAUCUGUGGGAGAAAGCAGUCCUAAAUCCCCCAAAGGACUGACUUUGCGGAGGCCCCAGAAAGCUGAACAAGCAGAUGUCUCCCGAACAGAGAAGAUAGGAACUCGGAGCCUUCCUUGUGGCUCGUCCAUGCAGCUUUCUGACAUCAGUGUUCCUUUGCAUUUGUUACCGUGAGCUUUCUAAUAGGUGGAUAUAUGAAAAUAAUUUUCCCAAGGUCUAUGGGCUGCUCCAGAAAAACUUAAGCAAGCUUAGAAGGAACCUUGGGAACCUUGGUUUGCAGGUAGUUGAUGGGAGGUAGAGGCAACCUGGGUUUGAUAACUGACUUUGUCUUAGAAACUUUUCUAUUGUUGUGAUUCACUAUGACCAAAAGCAACUUGGGGAGGAGGCGGGUUUGUUUCAGCUUAUAGUCCAUGAUGAAGGGAAGUCAAGAUAGGAGUUCAAGACAGAAAUCAGGAGGCAGGAACUGAAGCAGGGAAUAUGGAAGAGUAUGGCUUACUGGCUGGCUUAGCUUACUUUCUUAAUACAAUCCAGGCCCGCCUGCCCAGUGGUAGCACUGCCUCCAGGAACUGGGCCCUCCCACAUCAAUUUUAAUAAAAAAAUAUGCCCUAUAGACUUAUCCACAAACCAAUGUUAUGGAGGCUUUUUUAUUUUUAAAUUAAGAUCCCCCCCUUUCCAGAUAUGAGUAACUAUGGUCGUGUCAAGUUGACAAAAGCCACCCAGGGCACUUUGGAAGGGGCAGUUUGGGGACCUGAGGGGGGCAGUUUGGGGACCUGAGGAAUCUGUGGCAAUCUCUAAGUAAACAGCGUCAGAACUGAAAGUGAACUAGAAGACCCCCACAGGUGUCUGCUGCCUUCUUCGUUGGAGAGUGGGGGAAGAUCUGUACAGUUACCAGUGAUCAUGGAGAUUUUGUGUUGAGAGAAAAGACAAAGAAUACAUUGUGUUUCCUAUCCUCAAGAUGUCAGACUUUAUAUAUAGGCUGCCGUUUUGGCUUCUCUUACUAUGCUUCCACCAUUCUCCUUGGAACAUGCAGAAGACUGGUUCCAGCCAGUCUCUAAGCAGUCUUCUGAGAGGAGCCCUCCCUUUGAGCUUGCUUCACCCUUGGUGACUUCACCCUUUGUAAUGUGUCACACAAGCAAACUCUGACAGCUCUGUUCUUCUAGUCUUUCUGUGUCAUGACCUUGUUUCUGUUCUCCCCUCCCCCUUCCCCUUUCUGGACCUUACUAGGUUUACCUGUAGGGCUAAUUGUGCUCAUUUCUUUCAUUUUCCUACUUAAGCUUCUUGGACCUCUGUUUUCCAUUCAUGUGGGGCACAUUAUGACAUCUUCAAACACAUUUGUUCUUGUUCUU